GGGGGUGAUUCUGGUUUCGACUGGUUGCACCUAGUCCUAGGAGCAUGUCGAGUAGCGAAUUCUCGUAAAACAGUCGUAUAAAUAUAGUCGCAAACGACGAAACCUACGCUUUAGCAGCUUAAUAACCUGCUUGAAGCCCUCGGUUCUAAGCCUUUCUAGUGACGCUUAGUUAUUCCGGGGUCGGUUCUUCACUAGAUCGUGUGGAAGCCCCGUCUGAGGUUGAAACAUUAAAUCUUUUUAUCAGACUGGGUAUCUUGUGGCGUGGCGGUCCGCAGCGGGUACUAAGAUCAAAGAUUGCCUAAACAUGUAGUGCCGAAGAUGAAGUCAAUUGGGACGCGGGUUCGAGUCCCGCCACCUCCACCA
Molecule: transfer-messenger RNA, 363 nt
Filed under: Succinivibrionaceae
Lineage: Bacteria; Pseudomonadati; Pseudomonadota; Gammaproteobacteria; Aeromonadales
Also listed under: 2 other names
Description: Succinivibrio sp003456415 Standard tmRNA
Rfam family: transfer-messenger RNA
About the family: Bacterial tmRNA, also known as 10Sa RNA or SsrA, is named for its dual tRNA and mRNA-like properties. Its role is to liberate the mRNA from a stalled ribosome. To accomplish this part of the tmRNA is used as a reading frame that ends in a translation stop signal.
Source: RNAcentral